CUGGCUCAGGAUGAACGCUGGCGGCGUGCUUAACACAUGCAAGUCGAACGAAGCAAUUUCUUACGAUCCCUUCGGGGUGACGAGAUAUUGACUGAGUGGCGGACGGGUGAGUAACGCGUGGGUAACCUGCCUUGUACAGGGGGACAAC
Molecule: ribosomal RNA, 148 nt
Filed under: Pseudobutyrivibrio xylanivorans
Lineage: Bacteria; Bacillati; Bacillota; Clostridia; Lachnospirales; Lachnospiraceae
Description: 16S rRNA. Bacterial SSU
Rfam family: Bacterial small subunit ribosomal RNA
Source: RNAcentral